This is a long non-coding RNA of Varroa destructor (honeybee mite), 542 nucleotides long. RefSeq lists it as uncharacterized. NCBI's taxonomy places the organism in Eukaryota, Metazoa, Arthropoda, Arachnida, Mesostigmata, Varroidae. The record is from RefSeq and is a predicted model, not a curated record.
CUUAGCGUUUUUGCUGUCUGGACCUUUGCGAUUUGACGCAUUCGAGCCGAACCAUGGCAUGUAGUCUCUUCUGCGAUGGGAUUAGUGAUUGAAACACACGGAAGCCAAAACAAGCGUGAUCGGUGCGUGUUAGCGGGCAAUCAGUGAAAGAAACCAGAAGGAAAAAUGAAUCUCACAGCUUGAUCGAUAUGAACGACAUGUGACUGGGUUUGCCCUCUGGUGACGUGGCUGUUGCCUUAUCAGCCUUACGAAGUUCGUCGGGCAACUUGGGAGGUCUUUCAACACCGUCGGCAGGAGGCAAGAUCUCCUUGAGAAGAUCCUGCAUAGACGAACUCAUUGGAGCUCUGUUUGCAAAUCAUUACAAAAAGAUCGUUCUUGGGCUGUUUCACAGAAAAAUUUGCUUCUCGACUUCGCUACACGAUGUCCUGCGCUCACCUUUCAGUCGGUUUCACGCUCUCCAGCGUCCGUUCCUGUCAAUGAUAGGAUUCGUUGAAGUGCACUUACUUCUGCAGCACAAGAUAUAUGUCCGCUUCAUCGGCAUC